This is a long non-coding RNA of Alexandromys fortis (reed vole), 485 nucleotides long. RefSeq lists it as uncharacterized. Lineage: Eukaryota; Metazoa; Chordata; Mammalia; Rodentia; Cricetidae. The record is from RefSeq and is a predicted model, not a curated record. The transcript has 3 exons.
UGUUCCACUCAAGGGUGGUCUGAGGAGAAGGGGACCCAACAAUCUGGAGCCUCUGCCAGGCCAGCCAUGUCCUCAGCAGGGGCAGAGCAGGAGGCUCCUUGGAGCCGAGAUUCCAUCACAAGCCCCACUGCCAGGCAUGGAGCUGCAGGACCCACGACCAGCCCCAGGCUUCUCUUCAGGUGCCUAUCCACUGACCCCGCCCGGCAACGGCCUACCUGUCCCCUAGAAUAAAAGAAAACAUGUUCGAUCACGUGUGGAUCCUGGAGGACGAUGGCUGCCAACUGGGAAGUCCGUCUGUGCUGUGGUGUGGAUUAAGUGUGGACUGUCCUCGGCUCCUGACCCUACCACCAUGCCUUCCCCACCAGAGAGAACCACAUCCCCUACACUAAAGCCCAGAAUUAACUCCUUCAUCCCUGAAAAUGCCUUCUGUCAGCACUCAGUCACAGUGACGAGAAAACUAAGCAGCCUGUUAGUGUCGGGAAGCC